UCCAGAUAUCUUUCAUAAAUGCAAUCAUGC
Molecule: non-coding RNA, 30 nt
Filed under: Rattus norvegicus (Norway rat)
Lineage: Eukaryota; Metazoa; Chordata; Mammalia; Rodentia; Muridae
Source: RNAcentral